Salvia splendens (bonfire salvia) is the source of this 1281-nucleotide long non-coding RNA. RefSeq lists it as uncharacterized. The transcript has 2 exons. The record is from RefSeq and is a predicted model, not a curated record. NCBI's taxonomy places the organism in Eukaryota, Viridiplantae, Streptophyta, Magnoliopsida, Lamiales, Lamiaceae.
GAGUCACUUCUAGCACCUCCAACCUCAUUUCUUCUUCAAAAUUUCGUGCUCCUCCAUAGCCAUAGACAUCUCAAGCUUUUAUUGCAAAUUUGAGCCCCGUUUUUCGGCAUAUCGGACGUACAAUCGCGUAAACCCCGAUAAAUCAAGGCGUAUAGAUCUAUAGUACAAGAAGGUCACUAAGGAAUGGACUUAGAAGGUAGCGAAGCAUCGAAAGGUGAUAAAGGCUUGUGUUCAUAGGCCUACGAGGUAGCGUAUCCUCUCUAUGGUUUUCGAUUCCUUUGGUUUAGAUGAUGUGUGCUAUAAUGUGAUUAAUUGUGAGAUGUUAAUUAAACAAUGUGCUUAAAUAUGCUUAUAAUUUAAUAUGUGGAUUGUUAUUAUACUUAUUAAUUUUAAUCUGAAUGAUCUUCGGAAAUCAUGGUACGAAUAUGAAUAAAAGACAUUGGAUAUGAUAUGCAAUGAAAUGUAAUUAAUUAUGAAGAUCUGAAUAAUGUGAAAUAUGUCUGAAUAGAUUAUGAAGAGAUAUCCGUAUGUAUAUGAAAAAUAAGUUAUAUGGUUGGCAGAACAUGAAUAAAAUGAAUACAAGAGAACGAUGUGUAAAUGUUAAUAGAGUAUAUACUAAAAGAACGUCUGUGAAUACGAUAAGAAUGAUUAUCCAAAGUGAUUUUUGGAAAUGGAAUAAAUGUGAAAGAAAAGAGAUUUGAAAGAAGAAUAUAAAAUAAAAGCCCCAUUUGCUUGGUCAUAUGUGUUGGGUACAAUUGGCAUGCCAUAGGACAGCAGCGCUGUAUUAUCUGUGAACACUCGUCUUCUGGAUAACCGAAGCGAGGAUCGUCUAUUAUCUGAUGGGCCCCUAUCUGAUCUGUCUGAUCUGCACCCUAAUGGGUGGUCUGAUUAUCUGUCUGCACCCUAAUGGGUGGUCUGAUUAUCUGUCUGCACCCUCAUGGGUGGUCUGACUUUCUGCUAUGCACCCUAUGGGAGGUCUGUGCGGAGUCCUCUCGAGGACAAAAUCCGCGUCUGCAUCUGAUUCUUUUUCUGAUCUGGUCCGUGUACCCUGCCUGAAACCAUGUUGAUAUUGGGGCUAAAUGAUAAGAUAAUAUAAGAAAUACCUGAUGACUUCUGAAUAAGAAUCUGUAAUCUGUGAUGUAUAAAAUAAUAUCUGAUGACUUCUGAAUAAGAAUUUGUGAUAUGUGAUGGAUAAAAUAAUAUCAUAUGACUUCUAAAUAAAGAAUCUGUAAUUUGUGAUAUGUGAUAUAUAAUAAGAUAAGAUAAAAUAAUAUCUGAUGA